This 595-nucleotide long non-coding RNA is filed under the name Equus caballus (horse). Its description in RNAcentral is "lncRNA (ENSECAG00000044922.1)". The record is from RNAcentral. Lineage: Eukaryota; Metazoa; Chordata; Mammalia; Perissodactyla; Equidae.
UAAGAAGAAGUUUGCAAAACCUUGGUCUAGACUUCAGAAAGCAACGGGAAAAAUGUGAAUGAUGCAGUUGGAAUUUAAAAGUGUGAUGUGACUUUGGUCAUAGUAUUGUGAAUAGCACAAAAGAAUGAGAAAUUAUUCUUCCAUUAUUUGAAAAACUAUUAUUCAAUUCAACAAAGAAGUCCCUAACAUUACUGAUAAAAGAGUGAAGUUCCAGUGCAUAUCUUCUCUGUUUCUCUUUCGUCUUGAUCAUUAAGAAGCACUGUAUAUCUGGAAAUGCUGAUGAGCAAAGCCUUGUAGUAAUUUGUGAUGCAUCUCAUUCAUACUCCUGCCCUAGACGAAGAUAUUGUGCACUGGAGUGUGCCACUGCAAACCUCAAAGGAUGUUUCUGUGGGAUAUGAUACGCCGAAGAGGUCUUAAACUCUGACAACAAGGCAGGCGAUUAAAAAGAAAGACAUUACUUUACAAGCAUGAUUAGAAAGAGACUCAUAUUUGGCUAAUUUACGUACCUUCCUUUCCAUGUUUUUCCGUGUCCAUAUUGGCUCUAACAUGCUGUGCCCAGCCAAGGACUAGUAUUCUCGUCCCUCCUUACGUAUAG